AUCCUGGCUCAGGAUGAACGCUGGCGGCGUGCCUAAUACAUGCAAGUCGAGCGAACUUUUGGGAGCUUGCUCCCAAAAGUUAGCGGCGGACGGGUGAGUAACACGUGGGCAACCUGCCUAUAAGACUGGGAUAACUUCGGGAAACCGGAGCUAAUACCGGAUAACAUAUGAGACCACAUGGUCUCAUAUUAAAAGAUGGCUUUUAGCUAUCACUUAUAGAUGGGCCCGCGGCGCAUUAGCUAGUUGGUGAGGUAAUGGCUCACCAAGGCGACGAUGCGUAGCCGACCUGAGAGGGUGAUCGGCCACACUGGGACUGAGACACGGCCCAGACUCCUACGGGAGGCAGCAGUAGGGAAUCUUCCGCAAUGGACGAAAGUCUGACGGAGCAACGCCGCGUGAGCGAAGAAGGUCUUCGGAUCGUAAAGCUCUGUUGUUAGGGAAGAACAAGUACCGUUCAAAUAGGGCGGUACCUUGACGGUACCUAACCAGAAAGCCACGGCUAACUACGUGCCAGCAGCCGCGGUAAUACGUAGGUGGCAAGCGUUAUCCGGAAUUAUUGGGCGUAAAGCGCGCGCAGGCGGUCCUUUAAGUCUGAUGUGAAAGCCCACGGCUCAACCGUGGAGGGUCAUUGGAAACUGGGGGACUUGAGUGCAGAAGAGGAGAGCGGAAUUCCACGUGUAGCGGUGAAAUGCGUAGAGAUGUGGAGGAACACCAGUGGCGAAGGCGGCUCUCUGGUCUGUAACUGACGCUGAGGCGCGAAAGCGUGGGGAGCGAACAGGAUUAGAUACCCUGGUAGUCCACGCCGUAAACGAUGAGUGCUAAGUGUUAGAGGGUUUCCGCCCUUUAGUGCUGCAGCAAACGCAUUAAGCACUCCGCCUGGGGAGUACGGUCGCAAGACUGAAACUCAAAGGAAUUGACGGGGGCCCGCACAAGCGGUGGAGCAUGUGGUUUAAUUCGAAGCAACGCGAAGAACCUUACCAGGUCUUGACAUCCCGUGACAACUCUAGAGAUAGAGCUUUCCCCUUCGGGGGACACGGUGACAGGUGGUGCAUGGUUGUCGUCAGCUCGUGUCGUGAGAUGUUGGGUUAAGUCCCGCAACGAGCGCAACCCUUGAUCUUAGUUGCCAGCAUUAAGUUGGGCACUCUAAGGUGACUGCCGGUGACAAACCGGAGGAAGGUGGGGAUGACGUCAAAUCAUCAUGCCCCUUAUGACCUGGGCUACACACGUGCUACAAUGGAUGGUACAAAGGGCAGCAAAACCGCGAGGUUAAGCCAAUCCCAUAAAACCAUUCUCAGUUCGGAUUGCAGGCUGCAACUCGCCUGCAUGAAGCCGGAAUCGCUAGUAAUCGCGGAUCAGCAUGCCGCGGUGAAUACGUUCCCGGGCCUUGUACACACCGCCCGUCACACCACGAGAGUUUGUAACACCCGAAGUCGGUGGGGUAACCGUAAGGAG
This 1452-nucleotide ribosomal RNA is filed under the name Bacillus sp. 5.5LF 38T. Its description in RNAcentral is "bacterial SSU rRNA". It matches the Rfam family "Bacterial small subunit ribosomal RNA". Lineage: Bacteria; Bacillati; Bacillota; Bacilli; Caryophanales; Bacillaceae. The record is from RNAcentral.